AAAGGCCCACAGAGGAGACAAAUAUUUUCCCUGAGCCCUCUCUCCCAAUGUAUUGGAAAAAAUACAAGGGAUACACUACUGUUAUCCUGUCUUAGGCAAGUGGAAUUAGAAGGGAGCUCUUAACUUGCCCGGUGAUGCAAGAUCAACAAGGCAAUCAGUAAGAAAUGUACAAACAUUAAGAAGAGCCUAUUCAGAAAAGACAGCCUUCUAGUCAUCUUAUAAAGGCAAGAAAAACUGGUAUUUUGAAAUAAAAUAAUUUCAAAAAGUUCUGUACCCCCUGGGUAUUCUGCUGUAAUAAGGUAAAGACCUUUCUCCUUUGUUGAUGCAAUCAUUUACAUCUUCACCGUGCAAACACCUGUCACGUCCUUUUAAAUAUUUGUUUUUCUUUUCCUAGGAUGAAAUCCCAUAAGUCAUUUUUUUCUCGGGAUUAUGAAGUUCACUGCACACAACCAGCCUUAUUUUAUAUCUCUUUCUUUUAUUUCAGCCAUCUGGGGACUGAGCAGAAGUCAUGGUCAGAGGGGAACAUAUGUAUUGCUUUAAUGAUGGGGGCAGAGAACAAAC
Molecule: non-coding RNA, 561 nt
Filed under: Pongo abelii (Sumatran orangutan)
Lineage: Eukaryota; Metazoa; Chordata; Mammalia; Primates; Hominidae
Source: RNAcentral